This 468-nucleotide ribosomal RNA is filed under the name uncultured bacterium. RNAcentral describes it as "partial 16S ribosomal RNA". It matches the Rfam family "Bacterial small subunit ribosomal RNA", at positions 28 to 507 of the family's 1533-position model. The record is from RNAcentral.
GACGAACGCUGGCGGCGUGCUUAACACAUGCAAGUCGAACGGAAAGGCCCUGCUUUUGUGGGGUGCUCGAGUGGCGAACGGGUGAGUAGCACGUGAGUAACCUGCCCUUGACUUUGGGAUAACUUCAGGAAACUGGGGCUAAUACCGGAUAGGAGCUCCUGCUACAUGGUGGGGGUUGGAAAGUUUCGGCGGUUGGGGAUGGACUCGCGGCUUAUCAGCUUGUUGGUGGGGUAGUGGCUUACCAAGGCUUUGACGGGUAGCCGGCCUGAGAGGGUGACCGGCCACAUUGGGACUGAGAUACGGCCCAGACUCCUACGGGAGGCAGCAGUGGGGAAUAUUGCACAAUGGGCGGAAGCCUGAUGCAGCAACGCCGCGUGCGGGAUGACGGCCUUCGGGUUGUAAACCGCUUUCGCCUGUGACGAAGCGUGAGUGACGGUAAUGGGUAAAGAAGCACCGGCUAACUACGUG